Long non-coding RNA from Odontomachus brunneus, 577 nucleotides. RefSeq lists it as uncharacterized. The record is from RefSeq and is a predicted model, not a curated record. NCBI's taxonomy places the organism in Eukaryota, Metazoa, Arthropoda, Insecta, Hymenoptera, Formicidae. The transcript is spliced from 2 exons.
UAUAAAGAUUCAUUAAUGAAAAAGAAUUCCUGGAAUAAAUUUGGAAAAAUAAUGCAUUGGACACCUGAUGAAUGUCAAAAUAGAUAGAUUAAGAGAACGAUUCUCGAGAGAAAGAAGAGAAAUAGAAGUGGAUUCAAUAAGUGGAAGUGGAGCAUCUCAAUGAAAGAGUUUUGUUUUAUAUAACAACAUGAAAUUUUUAAAUGGCUAUAUUCUACGAAGAAGAUACGUAUUGUAUAAAAACUACAAUUACAUAAACUAUAAUUUUAAUUUCUUUGUUAAAAUAUUAUAUUUACAUUAUUACAUUAUUUAACAUCAGUUUGUUAAUUAAUAUUAAUUUUUUUAUUCUUACAGAACUUUUACAAAUAUUUUACAAGAUAAGAAGAAUAAAGAAAAUAUUCCAAAAACUUCAUCUAUUCCAGAUAUUACUGCAACAAUUUGUUCUCCUACUAUUUCUAAAACUCAAGCUUCAUCAGUUCCAACAAACUUAUAUACAAAGUAUCCAUUAGCAACGUUAUGUCAUCAAUCACAACUUGCUUAAUAUUGCUGAAAUAAAUACAGAUAAACAGUUUGAAUCAUC